UUCUGCUGCAGGGAAGCCUGGUCCCGCCUA
This 30-nucleotide non-coding RNA is filed under the name Homo sapiens (human). The record is from RNAcentral. Lineage: Eukaryota; Metazoa; Chordata; Mammalia; Primates; Hominidae.